UACGUAGGGGGCAAGCGUUGUCCGGAAUUAUUGGGCGUAAAGAGCGUGUAGGCGGUCCGGUAAGUCAGCUGUGAAAGUCAAGGGCUCAACCCUUGAAUGCCGGUUGAUACUGUCGGGCUAGAGUCCGGAAGAGGCGAGUGGAAUUCCCGGUGUAGCGGUGAAAUGCGCAGAUAUCUGGAGGAACACCGGUGGCGAAGGCGGCAUCCUGGACCAACACUGACGCUGAGAAGCGAAAGCCAGGGGAGCAAACAGG
RNAcentral lists this ribosomal RNA (253 nucleotides) under uncultured bacterium. Its description in RNAcentral is "partial 16S ribosomal RNA". It matches the Rfam family "Bacterial small subunit ribosomal RNA", at positions 524 to 776 of the family's 1533-position model. The record is from RNAcentral.